UACGUAGGGGGCAAGCGUUGUCCGGAUUUAUUGGGCGUAAAGAGCGUGUAGGCGGCUUUACAGGUCCGUUGUGAAAACUCGAGGCUCAACCUCGAGACGCCGGUGGAAACCGUAAAGCUAGAGUCCGGAAGAGGAGAGUGGAAUUCCUGGUGUAGCGGUGGAAUGCGCAGAUAUCAGGAAGAACACCAACGGCGAAGGCAGCUCGCUGGGACGGUACUGACGCUGAGACGCGAAAGCGUGGGGAGCGAACAGG
Molecule: ribosomal RNA, 253 nt
Filed under: uncultured bacterium
Lineage: Bacteria
Description: partial 16S ribosomal RNA
Rfam family: Bacterial small subunit ribosomal RNA
Source: RNAcentral